UACGUAGGGUGCGAGCGUUAAUCGGAAUUACUGGGCGUAAAGCGUGCGUAGGCGGUUCGCAAAGUCUGAUGUGAAAGCCCCGGGCUCAACCUGGAAACUGCAUUGGAAACUAACGGGCUCGAGUGUGGCAGAGGGGGGUGGAAUUCCACGUGUAGCAGUGAAAUGCGUAGAGAUGUGGAGGAACACCGAUGGCGAAGGCAGCCCCCUGGGCUAACACUGACGCUCAGGCACGAAAGCGUGGGGAGCAAACAGG
Molecule: ribosomal RNA, 253 nt
Filed under: uncultured bacterium
Lineage: Bacteria
Description: partial 16S ribosomal RNA
Rfam family: Bacterial small subunit ribosomal RNA
Source: RNAcentral